RNAcentral lists this ribosomal RNA (253 nucleotides) under uncultured bacterium. RNAcentral describes it as "partial 16S ribosomal RNA". It matches the Rfam family "Bacterial small subunit ribosomal RNA", at positions 524 to 776 of the family's 1533-position model. The record is from RNAcentral.
UACGUAGGGGGCUAGCGUUGUCCGGAAUCAUUGGGCGUAAAGCGCGUGUAGGCGGUCCGGUAAGUCCGCUGUGAAAGUCGGGGGCUCAACCCUCGAAAGCCGGUGGAAACUGUCGGGCUAGAGUACGGAAGAGGCGAGUGGAAUUCCUGGUGUAGCGGUGAAAUUCGUAGAUAUCGGGAGGAAUACCAGUGGCGAAGGCGGCUUUCUGGGCCUGUUCUGACGCUGAGGAGCGAAAGCGUGGGGAGCAAACCGG